Long non-coding RNA from Vespa mandarinia (Asian giant hornet), 489 nucleotides. The record is from RefSeq and is a predicted model, not a curated record. NCBI's taxonomy places the organism in Eukaryota, Metazoa, Arthropoda, Insecta, Hymenoptera, Vespidae.
UAUUAAUCGUUUAAAUGAAAGAUUAAUUUAAAGAUGAUAACUUACCCCCAGAUUAUAUUUGAUACGUAUAACUACCCUUAUCUUUCAUAGAAGUACAGUGAUGUAUAAAGUGACAUCGGUUUUUGGAAGAUAACAGUGUUUAAAAAUAUUAAUUGUUUGAAGUAUUAACAAGUAACAAUGACUAGUGCAUAUAGUAAAUAUAAUCGUUACGUGAAAUUAUAUUCCUUCGAUGGAUUAUUCCACGAAUUCUCUGCUGAUAAUGGCAUUAUGGAUGAAUGGUUAGAAGAUAUGAAAAAAAUGAUAUACAUUGGAAUUUUAAUUUUACAUUCUAAUCUAUUAUUCUUCCAUGACAUUGUUGGAUAACAAAAGAAGAUAACAUAGAAGAAUUAUUGAUAUCAUGUAAAAACAUGAUAGUCUCAGUUUCUAAAAUUUACGAUCACGUAUUUUUUAAGCGUGGAAACGAGCGAACUGAUUCAACGAACGUAAGAU